UUCCCAUCUUUUUCACUAGCCACUUUCUUCAAAAAGGAGUAAGAAGUUCCUUUUUCUCUCAAACUUGUUCAUCUUCAAGUAAGUUCUUCAAGAAAUUUCUUCAAUAAUUCUAGCUUCUAAUCUAGUUUUGUUUUUGAAAAUUGUAGGGAGAUCUUGCAAGUACCAAAGGAAAGUAGAAAGGUUUCAAGAAUAAUUAAAGCCAGUCAAACUUUUGACUGUUGAUUUUUGUGUAAUCAAGAGUUUAGAGAAGAAGUUGCAGGUACAAGUUCUUGAUGUGCAUGGAAAUCAUAAGCAUCCGGAUGGGAGUUUUAGUACACGAGUACUUUCUUAUUUAAGUUAUCUUGAAUUUUAUAUUUGACUUUACUUGACCAAUGGGGUCAAGGUUUGACUUUUGAAUAUGGGACUAGUAUGGGAUAGUCUCGGAGUUUGUAAUUCAUUUACAUACUUUCUUAUUUCUAUUGUAUUAAAGUAUUUCCAGUUUAUUUUAAAA
Molecule: long non-coding RNA, 490 nt
Organism: Beta vulgaris subsp. vulgaris (sugar beet)
Lineage: Eukaryota; Viridiplantae; Streptophyta; Magnoliopsida; Caryophyllales; Amaranthaceae
Exons: 3
Source: RefSeq, a predicted model, not a curated record